RNAcentral lists this ribosomal RNA (468 nucleotides) under uncultured bacterium. RNAcentral describes it as "partial 16S ribosomal RNA". It matches the Rfam family "Bacterial small subunit ribosomal RNA", at positions 28 to 507 of the family's 1533-position model. The record is from RNAcentral.
GACGAACGCUGGCGGCGUGCUUAACACAUGCAAGUCGAACGGAAAGGCCCUGCUUUUGUGGGGUGCUCGAGUGGCGAACGGGUGAGUAACACGGGAGUAACCUGCCCUUGACUUUGGGAUAACUUCAGGAAACUGGGGCUAAUACCGGAUAGGAGCUCCUGCUGCAUGGUGGGGGUUGGAAAGUUUCGGCGGUUGGGGAUGGACUGGCGGCUUAUCAGCUUGUUGGUGGGGUAGUGGCUUACCAAGGCUUUGACGGGUAGCCGGCCUGAGAGGGUGACCGGCCACAUUGGGACUGAGAUACGGCCCAGACUCCUACGGGAGGCAGCAGUGGGGAAUAUUGCACAAUGGGCGGAAGCCUGAUGCAGCAACGCCGCGUGCGGGAUGACGGCCUUCGUGUUGUAAACCGCUUUCGCCUGUGACGAAGCGUGAGUGACGGUAAUGGGUAAAGAAGCACCGGCUAACUACGUG